Molecule: ribosomal RNA, 254 nt
Filed under: uncultured bacterium
Lineage: Bacteria
Description: partial 16S ribosomal RNA
Rfam family: Bacterial small subunit ribosomal RNA
Source: RNAcentral
UACGUAGGUGGCAAGCGUUGUCCGGAUUUAUUGGGCGUAAAGAGCUCGUAGGUGGCUUAGUAAGUCGGGUGUGAAACCUCCAGGCUCAACCUGGAGACGCCACCCGAUACUGCUAUAGCUUGAGUCCGGUAGGGGAGCGUGGAAUUCCUGGUGUAGCGGUGAAAUGCGCAGAUAUCAGGAGGAACACCAAUGGCGAAGGCAGCUCGCUGGGACGGUACUGACGCUGAGACGCGAAAGCGUGGGGAGCAAACAGG